This 98-nucleotide signal recognition particle RNA is filed under the name Chitinophagaceae bacterium. RNAcentral's name for it is "signal recognition particle sRNA small type". It matches the Rfam family "Bacteroidales small SRP", at positions 9 to 102 of the family's 107-position model. From Rfam's summary of the family: The non-coding component of the signal recognition particle in Bacteroides Lineage: Bacteria; Pseudomonadati; Bacteroidota; Chitinophagia; Chitinophagales; Chitinophagaceae. The record is from RNAcentral.
CGGCAAGUCUUAUACGACCAGCUCCUCCAAUUCCCCCAGGGUAGGAAUACAGCAAGGGUAAGGAGUUGUAGCGGUGCGAUAUAAGUAACUUGCCACUU